This 200-nucleotide unclassified non-coding RNA is filed under the name Hevea brasiliensis (rubber tree). The record is from RNAcentral. Lineage: Eukaryota; Viridiplantae; Streptophyta; Magnoliopsida; Malpighiales; Euphorbiaceae.
GAAGUAUACAGGUCUUACAGAUUCCUAUUUAUCAGUAAUAAAGGCUCUUCUGCAUGCAUCUGUUGCUUGCUUUAAGAAACUUGUUGUGGAUUGGGUUCCAGNNUGAGGAUGAAAUGGAAAAAGAGAAUCCUGAUGCUUAUAAGGUUGCAUGGAAAUUGUUAAAGGGUGCAGAUGGCAUUCUUGUUCCAGGAGGAUUUGGU